GGGUCCAUCCUAAUUCCUACAGGUUUAUGUUUGUAUCUGCUGGGUUUCGCUGGUGGACCAUAUUAAUUUGAGGACACACUCUUAAAAGCAAGCAAUUAUUGCUAGUCCAUAUGAGGAUGUUCUCAACAAUU
This 131-nucleotide small nucleolar RNA is filed under the name Salvator merianae (Argentine black and white tegu). Lineage: Eukaryota; Metazoa; Chordata; Lepidosauria; Squamata; Teiidae. The record is from RNAcentral.